UAAGAGGUAAUUUUUAAUUCAAAAUUAGUAUUAGUUAAGUUCUUGAAAAUUAAAGAUUUUGGCGGUAUUUUAGUCUUUUCAGAGGAACCUGUUCUAUAAUUGAUAAUCCACGAUUAAUUAAACUUUAUUUAUCAGUUUGUAUACCAUUGUAGAUAAAUAUUUUAAAAGAAUAAAUAUUUUUGUUUUUAUAAAAAUUUAAAUCAGAUCAAGGUGCAGCUUAUAUUAAAGAAGAAAUGGGUUACAAUAAAUUUAAUUUGUUGAUAAAUUAUUUAAAAUUGUUUUAAAAAUGGAUUUGAAAGUAAUUAAUUAUAUAUUUUUUUAAUGAUUAAAGCUCUAAAAUAUGC
Molecule: ribosomal RNA, 344 nt
Filed under: Saula japonica
Lineage: Eukaryota; Metazoa; Arthropoda; Insecta; Coleoptera; Endomychidae
Description: partial 12S ribosomal RNA
Source: RNAcentral